GCACGACAGCUGCCACACCAGAGGCCAACCUCUCCCGCUCCUCUCGUACUGAGAAGAUCUCCUCUGAGUACGCUGACGCCUACACCGGAGAUGACCGGAGAUGGGACCGAGCUGUCGCACGACGCAGGCCGUCGACGCGCGGCUCGCUGCUGGCUGGCCUGUGUACGACCCUCGGCGGGG
This 180-nucleotide ribosomal RNA is filed under the name Gephyrocapsa oceanica. RNAcentral describes it as "partial Bacterial large subunit ribosomal RNA". Lineage: Eukaryota; Haptophyta; Isochrysidales; Noelaerhabdaceae. The record is from RNAcentral.